Molecule: non-coding RNA, 169 nt
Filed under: Aminicella lysinilytica
Lineage: Bacteria; Bacillati; Bacillota; Clostridia; Peptostreptococcales; Anaerovoracaceae
Source: RNAcentral
CACAUCGUGAGGUGUGGGAGAGAAGAAGCAAUAGCGAAAUCGUAGCCUGACGAACAGAAACCUAAUAUUAAGGCUUGCAGAAGGGAUAAACUGACUAAGAGUAGUGAAGUCCAAAAGGCAAUCGUAACUUCCGUAAGUAAAUUAGGCAGGUAGACGAGGAAAGAUUGGC